CAAGUCCUAAAAGAUGUCAGUCAAACACCAGCUGAGCUUCUAGACCUCCUUCUGUGGCCCUUCUUCUGAGCAAGUAUGCAAAUAAUACAGUCAGGCUCUAUCUCCUGCAAUUAGCACAAGGGAGGGCUGAGUAACUAACUGGGAAGACUUAGCCUUCUCCCUGUGGCUAGCUUGUAAGGCUUUGAAGUGUAACUUUUGUUUUGGUUUGCUUGCUUUCCCCCUGCGUAGAAAUUUUCCCUAAGGGAAAGGUGGGUCUAAAGUACCUUUAAAAUGAGUUUUCACUCCCUGAAUAAGGCUUGUAAAAGCUUGAGAGAAAAUGCCAGGAGAAAGCAUGGAAACUUUUUGGUGAUAAACUAUGGGCACAUAAUCAGCGGACAGCCGCUAACCCCAGUAGCUGCAUGCUUUCUGCCAUCUUCAUCUACCUGAGCAAAACUUCGGGAACAUGUUUAUGCUGAAUCUCCAGAGACAGCAAGAGAAGCCCAGCUUGGGGGAAAUGACUGGACCUUGAUUACUUAGGAUAAAAAGAGAUCAAUUUAUGGUAGGACUAUCUAUCUAUUUAUGUCUGCACAUUCAUCAGGUUUGCCUAGGAAAGGAGUCUGAGAAAAUGUGUUGGAAUUGGGCAUUUCUGAUGUCUAUCCUAUUCCCUGCCUUGUUUGAUAACACUUUCUCCAGUCCCCAGAUCUCAUUUUAGGAAAUGAGACUUGUUAGCAGGCGUCCUAGAGCCUCCAUAUUUUUCUGAGUCUUUCUGUGUCUGCCAGCUCCACUGAUGUUGUUACUAUUGCUGGUUUUCCUCUUCCUUCUAUUUUCUGUGAAAAUGCUUAGGAGUUUUUGAGAACUGGUGGCCACCAGAGAGGUUAAACAUUAUAAACAAUAUAAAGCAAAGGAAUCUUAGUGUGCUUUCUUUGGGGUGUGUCAUUGCUGUACAGCUUCUCUUUUAUCCCAAAAAACCGUAAUCAUCUUCUGGGGUGGGAGGGGUUGGAGGUGAAGGGAUGGCUAGUUGAGGUGGGGGCAAUUUGUGCUAUACCUGUCUCUGACAGUCUUUUAACUUUUCAUUUGUCUAUGCAAAUUUCUUGUAAAAGAGCUGUGUCCAGAACUGGUUCCUUCCAGUGGGUUCUUGGUCUCGCUGACUUCAAGCAUGAAGCCGUGGACCCUCGCAUUCCCUCGGUCUAAAAAAAAAAAAAGAAAAGAAAAGAAGAAAAGUCAGCCUUUAGGGUCAGCCUUCAGUGAACAGCGGCUGGACAUCUCAACAGCCUCAGCCCAGCCUUGGGCUUCUGCUGAGAUGCAAGCAUAAUGACCGGGAAUGUGAUCUGUCCCCAGCCAGAUGGUCAAUAGCUGGAAAUACUACUCCCUCCACGGAACAUUUUCAGUAGAGCCUCUUAAGACACAUGUUUUGGGAUGCAGUCAAAUGCGUGCUGCUGUAUGACCAGCCUAUUCGAUUAUGCCUCCAAAUCCUAUGGAAGUGUAACAACCAUAGAGCAGACAAAUACCAACAGCAUCAACAACAGAGAAACUCAGUCCAGGAGGAUAUGAAACCCUUUGUAAUAAAGAAAGCAACAGCCAUGAA
This is a long non-coding RNA of Cercocebus atys (sooty mangabey), 1564 nucleotides long. RefSeq lists it as uncharacterized. The transcript has 4 exons. NCBI's taxonomy places the organism in Eukaryota, Metazoa, Chordata, Mammalia, Primates, Cercopithecidae. The record is from RefSeq and is a predicted model, not a curated record.